Non-coding RNA from Oryza brachyantha (malo sina), 206 nucleotides. NCBI's taxonomy places the organism in Eukaryota, Viridiplantae, Streptophyta, Magnoliopsida, Poales, Poaceae. The record is from Rfam.
AAUAACCUCAUUUUUCGUUUUUCCAUGAUCAACGUUUGACUAUUCGUCUUAUUUGAAAUUUUUUACGAUUAAUAUUUUUAUUAUUAAUAGAUGAUAAAAUAUAAAUAGUACUUUAUAUGUGACUAUUUUUUAAAGUUUUUUUAUAAUUUUUUUAAAUAAGACGAAUGGUCAAACGUUGGACACGGAAAAAGAAAAAUAAGGUUAUU